This 497-nucleotide ribosomal RNA is filed under the name uncultured bacterium. RNAcentral's name for it is "partial 16S ribosomal RNA". It matches the Rfam family "Bacterial small subunit ribosomal RNA", at positions 28 to 507 of the family's 1533-position model. The record is from RNAcentral.
GAUGAACGCUGGCGGCGUGCCUAAUACAUGCAAGUCGAGCGAACGGACGAGAAGCUUGCUUCUCUGAUGUUAGCGGCGGACGGGUGAGUAACACGUGGAUAACCUACCUAUAAGACUGGGAUAACUUCGGGAAACCGGAGCUAAUACCGGAUGAUAUUUUGAACCGCAUGGUUCAAAAGUGAAAGACGGUCUUGCUGUCACUUAUAGAUGGAUCCGCGCUGCAUUAGCUAGUUGGUAAGGUAACGGCUUACCAAGGCAACGAUGAAUAGCCGACCUGAGAGGGUGAUCGGCCACACUGGAACUGAGACACGGUCCAGACUCCUACGGGAGGCAGCAGUAGGGAAUCUUCCGCAAUGGGCGAAAGCCUGACGGAGCAACGCCGCGUGAGUGAUGAAGGUCUUCGGAUCGUAAAACUCUGUUAUUAGGGAAGAACAUAUGUGUAAGUAACUGUGCACAUCUUGACGGUACCUAAUCAGAAAGCCACGGCUAACUACGUG